GAGUUUGAUCUUGGCUCAGAUUGAACGCUGGCGGCAUGCCUAACACAUGCAAGUCGAACGGCAGCACUGGGAGCUUGCUCCCUGGUGGCGAGUGGCGGACGGGUGAGUAACGCGUAGGAAUCUGCCUCAUAGCGGGGGACAACUCGGGGAAACUCGAGCUAAUACCGCAUACUACUCGAGAGAGGAAAGCAGGGGACCUUCGGGCCUUGCACUAUGAGAUGAGCCUGCGUUGGAUUAGCUAGUUGGUAGGGUAAAGGCCUACCAAGGCGACGAUCCAUAACUGGUUUGAGAGGAUGACCAGUCACACUGGGACUGAGACACGGCCCAGACUCCUACGGGAGGCAGCAGUGGGGAAUAUUGGACAAUGGGGGAAACCCUGAUCCAGCAAUGCCGCGUGUGUG
This 401-nucleotide ribosomal RNA is filed under the name uncultured microorganism. RNAcentral describes it as "bacterial SSU rRNA". It matches the Rfam family "Bacterial small subunit ribosomal RNA", at positions 9 to 407 of the family's 1533-position model. The record is from RNAcentral.